GACGAACGCUGGCGGCGUGCUUAACACAUGCAAGUCGAACGGAAAGGCCUCUUUCGGGGGGUACUCGAGUGGCGAACGGGUGAGUAACACGUGAGUAACCUGCCCUUGACUUUGGGAUAACUUCAGGAAACUGGGGCUAAUACCGGAUAGGAGCUCCUGCUGCAUGGUGGGGGUUGGAAAGUUUCGGCGGUUGGGGAUGGACUCGCGGCUUAUCAGCUUGUUGGUGGGGUAGUGGCUUACCAAGGCCUUGACGGGUAGCCGGCCUGAGAGGGUGACCGGCCACAUUGGGACUGAGAUACGGCCCAGACUCCUACGGGAGGCAGCAGUGGGGAAUAUUGCACAAUGGGUGGAAGCCUGAUGCAGCAACGCCGGGUGCGGGAUGACGGCCUUCGGGUUGUAAACCGCUUUCGCUCAUGACGAAGCUUUGUGUGACGGUAGUGGGUAAAGAAGCACCGGCUAACUACGUG
Molecule: ribosomal RNA, 467 nt
Filed under: uncultured bacterium
Lineage: Bacteria
Description: partial 16S ribosomal RNA
Rfam family: Bacterial small subunit ribosomal RNA
Source: RNAcentral